Molecule: transfer RNA, 88 nt
Filed under: Muribaculaceae bacterium
Lineage: Bacteria; Pseudomonadati; Bacteroidota; Bacteroidia; Bacteroidales; Muribaculaceae
Description: tRNA-Leu
Rfam family: tRNA
About the family: Transfer RNA (tRNA) molecules are approximately 80 nucleotides in length. Their secondary structure includes four short double-helical elements and three loops (D, anti-codon, and T loops). Further hydrogen bonds mediate the characteristic L-shaped molecular structure. tRNAs have two regions of fundamental functional importance: the anti-codon, which is responsible for specific mRNA codon recognition, and the 3' end, to which the tRNAs corresponding amino acid is attached (by aminoacyl-tRNA synthetases). tRNAs cope with the degeneracy of the genetic code in two manners: having more than one tRNA (with a specific anti-codon) for a particular amino acid; and 'wobble' base-pairing, i.e. permitting non-standard base-pairing at the 3rd anti-codon position.
Source: RNAcentral
GCAGGAAUGGUGGAAUGGUAGACACGGGGGACUUAAAAUCCCCUGGCCCUUAUCGGCUGUGUGGGUUCGAGUCCCACUUCCUGUACCA